This 465-nucleotide ribosomal RNA is filed under the name uncultured bacterium. RNAcentral describes it as "partial 16S ribosomal RNA". It matches the Rfam family "Bacterial small subunit ribosomal RNA", at positions 28 to 507 of the family's 1533-position model. The record is from RNAcentral.
GACGAACGCUGGCGGCGUGCUUAACACAUGCAAGUCGAACGGAAAGGCCCCUUUGGGGGUACUCGAGUGGCGAACGGGGGAGUAACACGUGAGUAACCUGCCCUUGACUUCGGGAUAACUUCAGGAAACUGGGGCUAAUACCGGAUAGGAAUCCUUGCUGCAUGGUGGGGGUUGGAAAGCUUCGGCGGUUUUGGAUGGACUCGCGGCUUAUCAGCUUGUUGGUGGGGUAGUGGCUUACCAAGGCUUUGACGGGUAGCCGGCCUGUGAGGGCGACCGGCCACAUUGGGACUGAGAUACGGCCCAGACUCCUACGGGAGGCAGCAGUGGGGAAUAUUGCACAAUGGGCGGAAGCCUGAUGCAGCAACGCCGCGUGCGGGAUGACGGCCUUCGGGUUGUAAACCGCUUUCAGCAGGGGCGAAGCUUGUGGUGACGGUACCUGCAGAAGAAGCACCGGCUAACUACGUG